CCUAACACAUGCAAGUCGAACGGUAACAGGAAGAAGCUUGCUUCUCUGCUGACGAGUGGCGGACGGGUGAGUAAUGUCUGGGAAACUGCCUGAUGGAGGGGGAUAACUACUGGAAACGGUAGCUAAUACCGCAUAACGUCGCAAGACCAAAGAGGGGGACCUUCGGGCCUCUUGCCAUCGGAUGUGCCCAGAUGGGAUUAGCUAGUAGGUGGGGUAACGGCUCACCUAGGCGACGAUCCCUAGCUGGUCUGAGAGGAUGACCAGCCACACUGGAACUGAGACACGGUCCAGACUCCUACGGGAGGCAGCAGUGGGGAAUAUUGCACAAUGGGCGCAAGCCUGAUGCAGCCAUGCCGCGUGUAUGAAGAAGGCCUUCGGGUUGUAAAGACUUUCAGCGGGGAGGAAGGGAGUAAAGUUAAUACCUUUGCUCAUUGACGUUACCCGCAGAAGAAGCACCGGCUAACUCCGUGCCAGCAGCCGCGGUAAUACGGAGGGUGCAAGCGUUAAUCGGAAUUACUGGGCGUAAAGCGCACGCAGGCGGUUUGUUAAGUCAGAUGUGAAAUCCCCGGGCUCAACCUGGGAACUGCAUCUGAUACUGGCAAGCUUG
This 607-nucleotide ribosomal RNA is filed under the name uncultured bacterium. Its description in RNAcentral is "bacterial SSU rRNA". It matches the Rfam family "Bacterial small subunit ribosomal RNA", at positions 47 to 644 of the family's 1533-position model. The record is from RNAcentral.